Molecule: small nuclear RNA, 118 nt
Filed under: Zalophus californianus (California sea lion)
Lineage: Eukaryota; Metazoa; Chordata; Mammalia; Carnivora; Otariidae
Description: U2 spliceosomal RNA (ENSZCAG00015007764.1)
Rfam family: U2 spliceosomal RNA
About the family: U2 is a small nuclear RNA (snRNA) component of the spliceosome (involved in pre-mRNA splicing).
Source: RNAcentral
AUAGCUUCUUGGCCUUUUGGCUAAGAUCAAAUGUAGUAUCUUUUCUUAUCAGUUUAAAGACCCUUUUGGAUAAUGUCAUAUGUAAGUGUUUAGACAAGGUUAGACUCAGUUAAUAUAU